GUUGGUCGUGAGGCUGACGAAAGUUGAGCAGGCUGAGCUAGGCUUU
Molecule: ribosomal RNA, 46 nt
Filed under: Butyriboletus primiregius
Lineage: Eukaryota; Fungi; Basidiomycota; Agaricomycetes; Boletales; Boletaceae
Description: partial 28S ribosomal RNA
Source: RNAcentral